RNAcentral lists this long non-coding RNA (806 nucleotides) under Heterocephalus glaber (naked mole-rat). RNAcentral describes it as "lncRNA (ENSHGLG00100052542.1)". Lineage: Eukaryota; Metazoa; Chordata; Mammalia; Rodentia; Bathyergidae. The record is from RNAcentral.
UUGUAAUAAAAUCAAAAUUGAAUUUAAUAAAUAUCUACUGAAUGUCUUUAUGCCAUUCUAAAUAAAUGUGACCCAUUAGACUUCUGAAAUAUUUAAAACAGCAUAUAGUGGAAAGAAAGAGAAAGAGAGUAAGAAAUAAAAAGCACCAACAAACUAGGAUGACCCCUAGUCAAUUGUAACCUAAAUCACCUGAAUCCAGGGCAGAAUUAAGCGAGUUCCCUUAAAGGGACACUCCCUGGUUUAUGGACUUCUCAGGUCCAGGUGGAGACACGCGUCUCAAUCCAUCUCGAACCACAGGACAAACGUUUCCGGGCCUCUCAAGGAGCAGGGAAGGCAGGCAGGGCAGCAGCUCCUCCCGGCGUCGGAGCGGAGUGAGCAUCGCCAGCUGGGCCGCGGCCACUGAAGAUAGAGGCCCCAGGCCCCAGCGUGGGGGCAGGGAAGAAAGUUGUGUGGUACAAGAGAGUUUCAGGAAACCGAAACCUAGGCGGCCGGUGUGGGCGCCAGUCCCCUGAGGCGUAGGCACCACCGGGCGAGCGGAUUCCUGAGCAAGAACUGCAGCAGCAAUAGAAAUUGCCAAAAGCAGUUGAUCAAGGAGGAGUGAUCACAAAAUACAGUGAAUGCUUAAAUGAAAACUUCAUUACAGUUUUACAGGAUGAGUCCAUGAUCAUAGACUGACACCACCAACUUCUGAAUUCCUACUCAGAAGUGCAGCAUAGGGAAUGGAUCAAGUCCAAAAGGUGUAAAUGUCAGGAUAAGGCAAGGUAGAUGAAUAAGGACUAUCCCAUGAAUGUGACUGUAUAAUUCUA